Non-coding RNA from Anolis sagrei ordinatus, 601 nucleotides. Lineage: Eukaryota; Metazoa; Chordata; Lepidosauria; Squamata; Anolidae. The record is from RefSeq and is a predicted model, not a curated record.
UGGAAUUCGAAGGGCAUGAAUGGAGGGCAAAGGGGAGAAACAUGUCAAGAGGAAGGUGCAUCAAGUCAGCCCUGACCGGGACUGCCUUCCACCUGGAAACCGAUGUCCUCAYUAUGACAGAACAUGUGGAUCAAGUAUUGGUUUCUAUGGUCACCUAUGGACCCACUGCCAAGACACUACACUUGGAAGACAAUCAUACUCGGACACAAGUGAUGAUCACCAGUGAUGAUGAUGACUGUACUCAAAAGUAAAUAAAUGAAAGUUUCAGCCAUAGCGUAUUGGAGCACCUGCAGAGUUGAAUGAGGCAGAAGAGCAUGGAAGGAGAAGUGAGAGGCAGCAAGAAGUUUUGAAGAUGCUGGUGUCCUGAGCUGUCUCCUGAACUUUUGGAAUCCUUGAAUCUUGGACUGGCUUUUGACUAUGGUACAGACUCCUGAUCCCUGGACUUUGUUGAUUGAACUCUUGGCAUUUGACCACUGGACUGGACCUUUUGGACUACGGUGUUAUCUUGAACCUGCAACAGUGUUUGCUGUCAUUUUUUGUUUAUUCUGUGACUGAGUGCUAUCUUUAUGUUUUAUAUUUUGGACUAUUAAAACAGCCAGGA